GGCCAGCUCCCUCUGAACCCCGUCAGGGCCGGAAGGCAGCAGCGGUAGGAGGUCGCAGCGGCGCGCUGCGGGUCGCUUGCCCUU
Molecule: signal recognition particle RNA, 84 nt
Filed under: Bacteroidetes bacterium SW_8_64_56
Lineage: Bacteria; Pseudomonadati; Bacteroidota
Description: partial signal recognition particle sRNA small type
Rfam family: Bacteroidales small SRP
About the family: The non-coding component of the signal recognition particle in Bacteroides
Source: RNAcentral